GGGGAUUUAGCUCAGCGGCAUAAGCGCCUGCCUUGAAAGCAGGCAAUCAUGAGUUCGAUCCCCG
Molecule: non-coding RNA, 64 nt
Organism: Cavia porcellus (domestic guinea pig)
Lineage: Eukaryota; Metazoa; Chordata; Mammalia; Rodentia; Caviidae
Source: Rfam